This is a long non-coding RNA of Homo sapiens (human), 905 nucleotides long. The record is from Ensembl. Lineage: Eukaryota; Metazoa; Chordata; Mammalia; Primates; Hominidae.
CAGAAUCUCUCUCUGCUGCCCAGGCUGGAGUGCAGUGGGAUGAUCUCGGCUCAUUGAAACCUCCACCUCCAGGUUCAAGCGAUACUCCUGCCUCAGGCUCCCGAGUAGCUGGGACUACAAGUGUGCACCACGAUGCCCAGAUGGAGUCUUGCUCUGUCGCCCAGGCUGGAAAGCAAUGGCGCUAUCUUGGCUCACUGCAACCUCCGUCUCCUGGGUUCAAUUGAUUCCUCUGCCUCAGCCUCCCAAAUAGCUGGAAUUACAGGACACUCAGAAAAAAAAUGAAAUUAUGAGAAUUGUUUUCUCAAAUCCUUUUCUACUGCAACCUUCCCACCAUUACGAGCAUAAUGAAACUCAAAUGUGAGUCCAAGGAAUUAUUAUCUUCAUUUUUCUACUGAGGAGAACUAUCAAGACUUCUAAUCACAUGGAAUAACUCAUUCAGGAAAUGAGGCUGGGUUGCUGAUGAUGGAAUGAGGGAGUUGGAGGGAUUAGAAAUGACGUAUCCAGAAUAGACAAUGGAAUCGGUGACAGACUUCCACUAGUGGCAGCAACCUGUGCCUCACUCCUGCACAAAUCCAAAAGGGUUUUUGAGGCAUUUGAUGGCAUGUGCCUGUGAAACAAGUAGAUAUUCUGUCUUGGGAGCUUGAGAAAAGGCCAGUAGCACUGUUCUAGUAGCCUAAAGGCAAACACACAUUUAAAUAGUGGUGGGGUUAGUAGGCAUGGGAUGAUGAGUAAUGAGCAGCUCAGAAAUGGUCACUUUAAAGAUCAAAGGUCAUAUGCCCACAUUUUCUGAAAUCAUGCCAUUUGGAAUCAUCUUACAUCCCUAAGAAUAAAAAUGUUCCUACCAAAAUCAUUUAGAAGAAGUUUUCUCUGACAACUCACCCUGUUAAAGGUCAACAUGAGAUUUU